Molecule: non-coding RNA, 419 nt
Organism: Sturnus vulgaris (Common starling)
Lineage: Eukaryota; Metazoa; Chordata; Aves; Passeriformes; Sturnidae
Source: RefSeq, a predicted model, not a curated record
CAUAAGCUAUAUUACUAGAAUGUGUUAGCUAUAUUACUAGACAUUUUUAGCUAUGUAACAUGUCUGGAAUGCUUGGGAAAAGGCGACUCAAACUAUAGAUAGGGUUGUGUAGCUGUAGGCACGUGGGUGAUAAAAGGAAGACUGAGGAAACAUGAGCCCUCUGCGAGGGAAUGGAACAGCUGGGAUAUGGAGAACGCUGAGGGAUAGUCUGUGGCUGCUGGCAUGGUGAACCACCAUAAAGCUCCGCAACAGCAACAUGAGCUUUAGAAUCCACCUCCCCCAGCCCCUCUCUGAACAGAAGGAUGUUGAAGAUGAAUCCUUUAUCCUGGCUGCCUCACCUCUGGAUGAUGCUGAUGGAAAGGAGAAAACCAUUCUGCUUUCAGAAAGUAUAAAAGUAAAUAUGAAAGUUGAAACUCCCU